Molecule: ribosomal RNA, 850 nt
Filed under: uncultured bacterium
Lineage: Bacteria
Description: bacterial SSU rRNA
Rfam family: Bacterial small subunit ribosomal RNA
Source: RNAcentral
AAAGUGGAAUUCCUAGUGUAGCGGUGAAAUGCGUAGAGAUUAGGAGGAACACCAGUGGCGAAGGCGACUUUCUGGACUGUAACUGACGCUGAGGUACGAAAGCGUGGGUAGCGAACAGGAUUAGAUACCCUGGUAGUCCACGCCGUAAACGAUGGAUACUAGGUGUAGGGGGUAUCGACCCCCCCUGUGCCGGAGUUAACGCAAUAAGUAUCCCGCCUGGGGAGUACGGUCGCAAGACUGAAACUCAAAGGAAUUGACGGGGGCCCGCACAAGCAGCGGAGCAUGUGGUUUAAUUCGAAGCAACGCGAAGAACCUUACCAGGGCUUGACAUCCCGAUGACCGGUACAGAGAUGUACCUUCCCUUCGGGGCAUUGGAGACAGGUGGUGCAUGGUUGUCGUCAGCUCGUGUCGUGAGAUGUUGGGUUAAGUCCCGCAACGAGCGCAACCCCUAUCCUUAGUUGCCAUCAGUUAAAGCUGGGCACUCUAAAGAGACUGCCGGGGAUAACUCGGAGGAAGGUGGGGAUGACGUCAAAUCAUCAUGCCCCUUAUGUCCUGGGCUACACACGUGCUACAAUGGCCUGUAACAGAGGGAAGCGAAGCCGUAAGGCGGAGCAAAACUCAGAAACCAGGUCCCAGUUCGGAUUGUGGGCUGCAACUCGCCCACAUGAAGUCGGAGUUGCUAGUAAUCGCGAAUCAGCAUGUCGCGGUGAAUACGUUCCCGGGCCUUGUACACACCGCCCGUCACACCAUGGAAGUUGGGGGGACCCGAAGCCGGUGACCUAACCUUUUAGGGAGGAGCCGUCGAAGGUAAACUCGAUGACUAGGGUGAAGUCGUAACAAGGUAACCGUA